UACGUAGGGGGCAAGCGUUGUCCGGAUUCAUUGGGCGUAAAGAGCGUGUAGGCGGCCAGGUAGGUCGGUUGUGAAAACUGGAGGCUCAACCUUCAGAGGUCGACCGAAACCAUCUGGCUAGAGUCCGGGAGAGGAGAGUGGAAUUCCUGGUGUAGCGGUGAAAUGCGCAGAUAUCAGGAGGAACACCAAUGGCGAAGGCGGUUCUCUGGGCCUUACCUGACGCUGAGGAGCGAAAGCGUGGGGAGCAAACAGG
This 253-nucleotide ribosomal RNA is filed under the name uncultured bacterium. RNAcentral's name for it is "partial 16S ribosomal RNA". It matches the Rfam family "Bacterial small subunit ribosomal RNA", at positions 524 to 776 of the family's 1533-position model. The record is from RNAcentral.